This is a long non-coding RNA of Harpegnathos saltator (Jerdon's jumping ant), 2078 nucleotides long. RefSeq lists it as uncharacterized. The record is from RefSeq and is a predicted model, not a curated record. Lineage: Eukaryota; Metazoa; Arthropoda; Insecta; Hymenoptera; Formicidae. The transcript has 3 exons.
GUCUCUCCUUCUCACGUCCUCUCUCGCUCGCUCUCGUUUCUCUUAUCUUCCACCGAGAUUAGCUCGCUGCGCAGUUUGCACGUACGCGCCUCUUCUCUCGUGCAUCGUCGCGCAGCAGGAACAAAGGACGAAGGCACGAAGAAAACUCGUGGACGCGGCGAGAGAGAGAGAGAGAGAGAGAGAGAGAGAGAGACUGUUUGCCCGGUACAAAUAGAUCCCUCUUCUCUCCUCCUCCCUUCCCCGUAGCCAGCUCUUUUUCUCAUACUUGAUGAUACGUCGUUAAAUCGAAGCGACGUGCGAUCGAAAUUGCGCGCAACUUACGAUAGGAGUUUCUGAAUUUAAGUCCGAGUUUCAUCUGGCGGUUUUGUCUGUGCGAAGGAAGUUGAAAAGCACGUAGUGCGGUUUGGAAGAGCGCAGGUGCCUCCUAACGUGCGGCAAUGUUCGGACGAGUCCCCUGUCUCGUACGAUAACUUCCCGGGGAACGAGUGCGUCGGUUAUAUUCUAGCGGCGGGCAUGUCGAGUGUACCUUCGACUGCGCGAAUGUAAGGCGGUAUCAAACCCAAAUGCGUCCGAAGCUGCUUGGGCCAAGCUACUUGGGUGUCCUUUCAUUCAUUCACAUCGCUCGAUGUCCACUUCGAGUUAACUUGGAUUAUCAGUUGAAUAAUUUGCUUUAUCGGUCGUUAUCAAGAUUAUUAGAAUUCUCACUGAUCUCUUGGCUUCAGGACGACCUCAAGACAUGUCUUUAUGGAUCAGCGAAGCUUGGCUUCGUUGGAAAGUACGAGCGUCAUCUCGUAACGCUUCAAGAAUAUUUGUAAUUUAUUUUGUCGCUUAUUACUAAUAUUUAAAAAAAUAUUUCACGCUUCUCUUUGAAAAUUCUGCUCGACAAGACGAUAAAAUGAUGUUUGUUUAAUUCGAGUUUAAUUCGGUAGAUUGCGCUAUCGAUAUUCGUCGUCGCGAUGGAUUCGUCAGGUACGCCGUGAUAUAUGCCGUGAUAUGUUUGCGAUCCAGAAAACGGACUAUUUCGUGAUCGGCUUGGAUGCUCUACUCGGAUUAGAUGCCACGUGAGAAAACGUUCCGAGUGAUUUAACGACGAGGCAGAUUUAUUUCGAAUAUAACGGAACAGCUUUCGGGAGGAACGGAAUUAUUUUCAGGCUCGCUGCGCGUCUUAAUUUAUAAGAGAGGCUCCAGGUCACACGUUGAAAUAUUCGACGAGACGAUUUGUAAAUUUUGCGAAAGGCCGCGAGGCGGCAAUGCGCGCGCGUCUCGAGAGGGAGAGAGAGAGAGAGAGAGAGGGAGAGAAAAAAGAGCCUGUUUUAUAAAAAGUUGCGUAUACCCGCAAAAAAUAUCUGCACUUAUUUAUCGCCUCGUGUAAACAAAGCAGUCGUUCGUGUAACUUAUAUAUCUGUUUCAUCAACAACCGAUAUUCAUCACAUGGAUUCCUGCCGAGCAUUUCGGCGAACGUGUUUUUCAUCCGCCAUUUUGACCAUGUGGACUUGCGUGCUGCCGCGUAACGCGUGAUUAUUCCGUGAGGAUCAAAUAUCUCGCGAGCAAGUGAAGUGACGGGCACACAAGGAUAAAAGUUGCGGCGCAUGAAGGGUCAAUGAGUGCCUUUCUAAACUUUAAUGGGUAUUACUUCGGCAGUCAAGGUGAAGCUAAACGUUUGCUGACUACCGCCGGCCGGGCUUGAUGUACGCGCGGCGAUCAAGGUCGCAGGACUAUCUAAUAGCGGCACCUAGUAGCGUGACCAAGGUCGACGAGCAGUGAAUCUUUUUGGUGUAUUGCGCACAAAGCGAAACACGAACGAGGCGUAAUGCUUCCUCCGAAUGUGAUCGGGCGGAAAUGACGAACGACCGAGUCAAACACCGCUGAUCGAUCGACCUCGCUCUCAGCUCCGCGAUGAAUUAUGUUGACACAAAGAAAGUUAUGAAUCCGAAAAUUUAGAAGGGAGAAGUGACAGAAGUGAGAAUUCAAACGGAGAAGAACUACGGAGUCAAAUCGACCGCUGCUCGGUUGACCUCGCUCUCGAUUUCGCGAUAAAUUGCGUUGACAAAAAAAAUUGUGAAUUCAGAAAUGUACAA